AAUAGUAAAAAAUGGCUAAUGUUAUAGAAUAGCAAAUGCUAAAGGACAGCUAAUAUGAAAAAGAACGAUUAGCGAUAAAGAAUGGCUAAGAGUAAAGAAUGAUUAAGAAUAAUGAGUAGAAUUAACUAAUCUACUUGCAUGAGUUACAGGAAUUGCAUAAUGUUCAUAUUGCAUAUUGUGAGGCAUGUUAUCUGUUAAUUGCAUCAUAACUUGAUGAUAUAUAUAUCGGUAGAUGUUUUUUGGACUAACAUGAUUGCAGUGCCUCCUUGAACCUAUUGGUCGAGCUUUUCCCUUGGGUGGCCGUACCCACUGGGAACCAUGGAGUUGGUUCUCACCCCACGUUAUUUUGGGGUGU
This 355-nucleotide long non-coding RNA is filed under the name Ananas comosus (pineapple). RNAcentral describes it as "long non-coding RNA (ACOM_LNC035692)". The record is from RNAcentral. Lineage: Eukaryota; Viridiplantae; Streptophyta; Magnoliopsida; Poales; Bromeliaceae.